RNAcentral lists this small nuclear RNA (164 nucleotides) under Colobus angolensis palliatus. RNAcentral's name for it is "U1 spliceosomal RNA (ENSCANG00000038249.1)". It matches the Rfam family "U1 spliceosomal RNA". From Rfam's summary of the family: U1 is a small nuclear RNA (snRNA) component of the spliceosome (involved in pre-mRNA splicing). Lineage: Eukaryota; Metazoa; Chordata; Mammalia; Primates; Cercopithecidae. The record is from Rfam by way of RNAcentral.
AUACUUACCUGGCAGGGGAGAUACCAUGAUCAUGAAGGUAGUUUUCCCAGGGCGAAGCUUAUCCAAUGCAGUCCGGAUGUGCUGACCGCUGUGAUUUCCCCAAAUGUAGGAAACUGAACUGCAUAAUUUGCGGUAGUGGGGUACUGCGUUCACGCUUUCCCCUA